This 1266-nucleotide long non-coding RNA is filed under the name Vitis vinifera (wine grape). RNAcentral describes it as "long non-coding RNA (VVIN_LNC006104)". The record is from RNAcentral. Lineage: Eukaryota; Viridiplantae; Streptophyta; Magnoliopsida; Vitales; Vitaceae.
GGGGUCAUUACUGAGUGGAAGGAUGUCCCUAUGGAGCUUCUGCUGCGGAUUGUUGCGCUCGUCGAUGAUCGGACAGUGAUUAUGGCUUCUGGGGUGUGCAGUGGAUGGAGAGAUGCUAUUUGCUUGGGCCUUACCCAUCUCUCCCUUUCUUGGUAAUUGUUUCUUUUACCCUUCUUUCUCUCUGUAUGAUCAUAUACUUGUUUAUCUUUCCGUUUCUCAAUCCGUGUUUUGAGAAGCUUUCUAUACGAUGAUCGUGUGCGUGCGUGCUUUUUUGUCUAUCCAAGGAAAGGGAAAAAAAAGGGCUUUGUAUUUGGUUCUACUUUUUUAUUAUGGGAUCGCAAGGGUAGGGCUUAUGCAAAUUUGAAAAGAAUAGAAUGGAAUCAGAAAAAGGGGUAAAGAGAAACAAGAAUGGAAGGAAAGAGAAGAAUUUUUUUUAGGAUGGUUGGAGAUUCCAGUAUGGUUUUGCUAAGAUUUGAAGGGAUGCUCCAAGUUCUGCAUAUAUCGAAUGUUUAUGGAGCCCCAUGAAGGUGGCUUUUGGGUGCCAAUUGUUUCCUUAUUUUUAAGUGGAAAGUGAACCAAAGGAUCCUCCUCUAUUUUUUCACUAUCUAUUUUUAUUUUAAUUGGAAAAAUUUGAGCUUUCACUACCACAUCCCAUUUUCAUGAUCCAUCUUUUCUGUGAUCACAUGUCUCUGUUGUUCGAAGUUUCAAAUUAUUGGAACACGAUAUGCAUUCCUUAAAAUUCUGUUUGGCUGAGAAAUAGUAAGGGAAAGGAAAAAUUGGGAUCUGGUAACAUCUUGAGAUUGAAGUGGAUGUUCGAUUCUGUCAUCUUUUUUGUUGUGAUAUCUUACCAAGCAAACAAGGCAUCAGUUGUUAAUGAUUUAGCUAUAAGUGGGACUAUGGUAAACUUUAUGGUUUAAAUUGCCUAUUAUGAAGGGUGUGUGUUAUUAAGCAUGUGGUAUUGGUUAGUAUUUGGUUAAUUAUGGUUUGGGGCAGUUGGAUGUGUUAUGGUUUUUGUAUAUGCAUACAAUUUUAUGGCCAAUUCUGGGUUAUGGAGUUUGCUUAGGGAUCUAUGGUUCAAGCCCAAGUCAACUAAUCUAACCAUUUUAGUUCAGGCGUCUUAAUAUCUUGUACGGUAUAGUUUACCUUAUUGUCUACCUCUUAAUUUACUCUGUACUUUUCACCUUGUUGGAUGACGGUUUCUGCUUGUCACACUUCAUCCUUAUUACUCACUACCUUAUAUUUACUCUAUUUAGGUGCAAAAACAAC